UGGCGUAUAGCAAGUGGUAAGGCAAUGGUUUUUGAUACCAUGAUUUCAAAGGUUCGAACCUUUUACGCCAA
Molecule: transfer RNA, 71 nt
Filed under: Wildemania schizophylla
Lineage: Eukaryota; Rhodophyta; Bangiophyceae; Bangiales; Bangiaceae
Description: tRNA-Gln
Rfam family: tRNA
About the family: Transfer RNA (tRNA) molecules are approximately 80 nucleotides in length.
Source: RNAcentral